RNAcentral lists this transfer RNA (72 nucleotides) under Sus scrofa (pig). It matches the Rfam family "tRNA". From Rfam's summary of the family: Transfer RNA (tRNA) molecules are approximately 80 nucleotides in length. Their secondary structure includes four short double-helical elements and three loops (D, anti-codon, and T loops). Further hydrogen bonds mediate the characteristic L-shaped molecular structure. tRNAs have two regions of fundamental functional importance: the anti-codon, which is responsible for specific mRNA codon recognition, and the 3' end, to which the tRNAs corresponding amino acid is attached (by aminoacyl-tRNA synthetases). tRNAs cope with the degeneracy of the genetic code in two manners: having more than one tRNA (with a specific anti-codon) for a particular amino acid; and 'wobble' base-pairing, i.e. permitting non-standard base-pairing at the 3rd anti-codon position. Lineage: Eukaryota; Metazoa; Chordata; Mammalia; Artiodactyla; Suidae. The record is from Rfam by way of RNAcentral.
UCCCUUGUGGUCUAGUGGUUAGGACCCAGUCCUUUCACCUCUGUGGCCCUGGUUCAAUCCCUGGUCUGGGAA